UACAGAGGGUGCAAGCGUUAAUCGGAAUUACUGGGCGUAAAGCGCGCGUAGGUGGUUGUGUAAGUUGGAUGUGAAAGCCCCGGGCUUAACCUGGGAAUGGCAUUCAAAACUGCACGGCUAGAGUACGGGAGAGGGGGGUAGAAUUCCAGGUGUAGCGGUGAAAUGCGUAGAGAUCGGGAAGAACAUCGGUGGCGAAAGCGCUCUACUGGACGGUGACUGACACUCAGGGACGAAAGCUAGGGGAGCGAAUGGG
This 253-nucleotide ribosomal RNA is filed under the name uncultured bacterium. Its description in RNAcentral is "partial 16S ribosomal RNA". It matches the Rfam family "Bacterial small subunit ribosomal RNA", at positions 524 to 776 of the family's 1533-position model. The record is from RNAcentral.